This 446-nucleotide ribosomal RNA is filed under the name uncultured bacterium. RNAcentral's name for it is "bacterial SSU rRNA". It matches the Rfam family "Bacterial small subunit ribosomal RNA", at positions 355 to 825 of the family's 1533-position model. The record is from RNAcentral.
UCGGGAAUUUUGGGCAAUGGGCGAAAGCCUGACCCAGCAACGCCGCGUGAAGGAUGAAGUAUUUCGGUAUGUAAACUUCGAAAGAAUAGGAAGAAUAAAUGACGGUACUAUUUAUAAGGUCCGGCUAACUACGUGCCAGCAGCCGCGGUAAUACGUAGGGUGCAAGCGUUAAUCGGAAUUACUGGGCGUAAAGCGUGCGCAGGCGGUUGUGUAAGUCAGAUGUGAAAUCCCCGGGCUCAACCUGGGAAUUGCAUUUGAGACUGCACGGCUAGAGUGUGUCAGAGGGGGGUAGAAUUCCACGUGUAGCAGUGAAAUGCGUAGAUAUGUGGAGGAAUACCGAUGGCGAAGGCAGCCCCUGGGAUAACACUGACGCUCAUGCACGAAAGCGUGGGGAGCAAACAGGAUUAGAUACCCUGGUAGUCCCUGAGCGGGCUGGCAAGGCGCAU